AUUCACAUCGGAAUCGGCACUGAUCAUUUGACCGCCUUACACCAAUUCCCUCAUUCCCUCCGAUGAAUGAUCGAUUUUUAACCCAUUUUAAUGGCAUUAUCAUUCUUCUUCUUUGUCUUCCAAAUCAGCCAUAGAGCGAGAGACAAGAGCAGAGAAAGAGGGAUCCAGAGAGUGAGAGGAACUGUUCUUCAUCGUCUCCCCCUUUUUCGUUUGAUUUUGUGGGUUAUCUUCUCAACCCCUCUCCUACAGUUGAUGAAAUUCUAGUUUUCACAAUGAGUAUUUCUCUGUUUUUACCUACUUUGUCUUUUCUCCUUUCCUUUUUUUUCUUCAGAUUCUUGCUUAUCAAGAUUGUAUUUCUCUGUUUUUUUUUCUUCAGAUUCUUGCUUACCAAGAUUGUAUCUCUCUGUUUUUACCCACUUUGUCUUUUCUCCUUUCCUUUUUUUUUCUUCAGGUUCUUGCUCUUAGACGAGAAAUCUGUUGACGAACCAAAAAUUUUGAAGAUUUCUUUUAUUUUUGUCAAAACCCAUCUCGAUUUUAACUUUUUUCUUUCUUUUACAAUGGGUUUUCGGGGAUUUGUCUCUUGGACCUGUGAAGAUGAUGAUGACACAAGAAGAAGACACCGGUUUGGGGAUCAACAGCAGCGGCGAGGACGAUUUCAGUUCCUGCAAAGAAGACUAAGAAAGGAGGGAGUGGGAUAGGUAUGUAAUUUUUGUCGAAGAAAGCUCAGAGGGAGGGGGAGAGAGAGAGGAACCGCAGCCGCUGCCACUGCCGAGGUUGAAGAAAGCUCAGAGGGAGGGGAGAGAGAGAGGAACCGCAGCCGCUGCCGCAGCCGAAGCCGCUGCCGAGGUCGAAGAAAGCUCAAAGGGAGGGGGAGAGAGAGAGGAACAGUAAAAACCAGAAAAAAGAAGAAGAAGAAGAAGAAGAAGAAGAAGAGAACUGAGCUCAACUUGGUCGGGGGAGAGAGGGAGUAACAGAAAAAACCAAAAAAAAAAAAAAAAAAGAGAGUGCAGCCCUACCGGAGUCGGAGCUAGUGAGGAAAAGGGGAAGAAAAACCGUGGAGCAGCAAUAUUGAAUAAGUUUUGUACGACAAAAAUUACAAACGGAUGAGAUCUUUUAUCUUUCAUCUGAUCACCAUUAUUCGCUGGCAUACCUAAUUACUAGGUAUUGUGCUAGCAUACCUAUCCCUCUCCCAUCAAAAUAGUUGUAUUUGAGGAACAGAAAAUAGCAAAAAAGCAAUUUUUGA
Macadamia integrifolia is the source of this 1243-nucleotide long non-coding RNA. RefSeq lists it as uncharacterized. NCBI's taxonomy places the organism in Eukaryota, Viridiplantae, Streptophyta, Magnoliopsida, Proteales, Proteaceae. The record is from RefSeq and is a predicted model, not a curated record. The transcript has 2 exons.